GGUAACAUGUUUCGGCGUCCUUCCACACUGUCGCGGCUUAUGUUGUUUUGCUGUUUGGGUUUGCACUGUCUUUUUGAGCUGUAACACAGCAAAGGUUUGCAGUUUCGCUCCUGAAAUCAUCGAGACCACAAACCCACCGGGAAGAACGAACAACUCCAGACGCACCGCUUUAAGAGCUGUAAUACUCGUUAGGAAGGUGUGCAGCUUGACUCCUGAGUCAGCGAGACCAUGAACCCAUCAGAAGGAAAAAACUCCGAACAUCAGAAGGAACAAGUUUCAGACACGCCACCUUUAAGAACUGUGAUACUCACCGCGAGGGCCCGCGGCUUCAUUCUUGAAGUCCGUGAGACCAAGAACCUACCAAUUCCGAAUACGUUGGGUUCAAGUGGUUCUCCUGCCUCAGACUCCCGAAUACCUGGGACUACAGGCACCCACCACGCCCGGGUAAUUUUUUGUAUCUUUAGUCGAGGUGAGGUUUCACCAUGUUGGCUAGGCUCGUCUCAAAAUACUGACCUCGUAAUCCGCGCCGCCUCAGCCUCACAAAGUGCUGCGAUUACCUGCGCCCUACCGCUCCCACCCCAAUCGUGUUGAAAUUGUGUAGUAUAGAAUUCUAUAAAUUUGAAAAAGCUUUUAGAGGUUAGUUGGAGCAGUGCUUCUCAUGUUGCACAUCACCUUGAGAACUUGUGAAAUUGCAGGUCGUGAGUCAGCAUGGUGUUGUAGGGUGAGGGGAGUGACUGUGCUGUGUUUUUCGAGACGGGGGCGGGUCUCACUUUGUUGCCCAGGUGGGAGUGCAGUGGUGCAAACAAGGCUCAUUGCAGCCUUGAUCUCCGGGGCUCAAGCUGGCUGUUGACCUCAGCCUUCUGAGUAGCUGGGACUUCAGGCGUACAUCACCACACCCAGCUAGUUUUAGUAUUUUUUCGUAAAGAUAGGAUUUUGCCAUGUUGGCCAGGCUAGUCUUGAACUUCUGAGCUCAAGCAAUCCACCAACCUUGGCCUUUGAAAGUGCUGGGAUUACAGAUGUGAACUACAAUGCCUGGCUGCUUAUGUAUUUUUAUUUUUUAUUUCUUAAAAUAUUUAUUUGAGAUGGAGUCUUGCUCUGUUGCUCAGACUGGAGUGCACGGUGGCACGAUCUUGGCUCACUGCAACCUCUGCCUCCCAGGUUCAAGAGAUUCUGCUGCCUCAGCCUCCCGAGCAGCUGGGAUUCUAGGUGCCUGCCAACAUGCCUGGCUCACUUUUGUAUUUUUAGUGGAGAUGGGUUUCACCAUCUUGGCCAGGCUGGUGUCGAACUCCUGACCUUAGGCAAUCCACCCACCUUGGCCUCUGAAAGUGCUGGGAUUACAGGCGUGAGCCACCACAUCCGGC
Molecule: long non-coding RNA, 1361 nt
Filed under: Homo sapiens (human)
Lineage: Eukaryota; Metazoa; Chordata; Mammalia; Primates; Hominidae
Description: HSALNT0386422
Source: RNAcentral